GGCCCUGGCGGAUUGGCCCCACGAGGGAGGAUGGCGACUCCGGGUCUGGAUGUGUGCUCCCCUUGCGUGCUCUUCGCUUUGCAAAUGGAUCCCUACGUUUUUAAGUGCACAAGAUCCCCUGGGUGUCGCCUGCACACCGCCCCCGAGGCCGCCCUUGUUUGAGUCCACCUCUCCUUGGCUGUGCAGCGUCCGCCAGCCAUGCUGACCCCUGAAGCCUUGGCUGUGCCUCCCAAGUGCACCGGGUUUCCCUGCAGACACACGCUUUGGCAUGAACAUGCCUUCUUAGGCAUGAACAAGAAGUUCACGUGGCUGCCACACCCAAGUGCCUUGCAUUUCGCCUGCUCCCCGCACCCCCCCCAACCAUGUUGCCACACGAGGCUUAUUCUGAAUUACAGGUUGGUUGUGAUAUCACCUCUGGUACAUGGACUGUUAAAACUAUUGAAAGGGAGGUGGAUCUGAAGCACGCCUACCUGUUUCCUGGCAUACUUGGAACGUUGCCAGACCACUGGAUACUUAGAAGGCUAAUUCUACAUUUAUCCUCAGCCAUCAUUCUGAGCGCCUUCAAAAGAUGAAUCAUCUGCACCGACUAUUAAAUUUAAUAACCAUGCACUUCUCCAGGGAAAUUGCCUCAAAGGGACCCACAACUGGCCACGAUUCAUGGUUGAGGAAACACCUCUUCCAGUUUCAGGUGAAGGGGCUCAGGUUCAUCCUCCGCUCAACUCAACGUGCGGUCGGCCUUGGGUCCCCAGGCCGGAACUGGCCUGAGACACGGAAACUCCCACAGCUUCUGCACCCGACCACUGAGGCCUGCUUCUGCCUGAGCUGCAGCAGCCAUGUUCCAAAUGUGUGGUUUGUGGUGAAAUUUCACUGGGAAAUCAGAAAAGAUCACAAAGCGACCUCGGCUCAGGGAUUUCUGUGGACAUCUGUUUCCCACGCAGGCCUUGUCUGGGGACAGGGGAUGCGAUCGUUGGGCAUGGUGACUGAUGCUUCUGCAGAGGCUCGAGGGCCGUUAGGUGUCCUGCUGUCCACAGCCCAGGGGGCUCACACACCUCUUUGCCUGCCCCUGAGAAACCCAGAGAACUGCUUCUCCACUGCACUGCAGUCUUCCAUGUGUGGCUUUCAGCUGCUUCUGGAAGAAUCUGCAUGCCUUCGUGGGUGUUGUCAGUGAGUGUGCAGGGAAUACUCCCUGAGGGAAGUCUCCGCCAUCUGGUAGGCCACAAGAUGCCCCUCUGUGGCCUGGUCCCGCGGGCUUCCCCUUCUCCAGCCUGGUCAUGCAAUGCCAGACUCUCUCCUGAUGGUUCUCACCAGGGAUGCGUCCUCCCUCCUGCCAGGACACCUGCCACUGCCCCUGACUGCCCUGCCUCCUGCCCCGUCCAUGGGGCUGCGUGCAUAUGGAAGGCGCUUUGUGUGUGCCAAUCAGCCCCGAGAAGGAAGGAGGGUUCCCCUGUCCAUUCCUCUACCCAGGAUCCCCAGCUCCUGGGGCAGUGCUGAGACAUGCUGCUAUUACCUGCCCAAGUCCCAAGUUCCCAGGGACAGCAGGCCAGCUGGGUCUACCACCUCAUAGCUGCCCAGGACAGUCCCCAGCCCUGGGCUCACAAAGCUAAAUAAAUAAAUCUUUUAUUUGUUUAUUUAUUUAUUUAUUUUUGAGAGAGUCUCAGUCUCUCACCCAGGCUGGAGUGCAGUGACAUGAUCUCAGCUCACUGCAACCUCUGCCUCCUGGGUUUGAGCGAUUCUCCUGCCUCAGCCUCCCGAGUAGCUUGGAUGACAGGCACCCACCACCACGCCCGUCUAAUUUUUUUUCUAUUUUUAGUAGAGACAGGGUUUCACCAUGUUGGCCAGGCUGGUCUUGAACUCCUGACCUCAAGUGAUCCGCCCACCUCAGCCUCCCAAAGUGCUGGGAUUACAGGCGUCAGCCACUGAGCCCAGCCUAAAGCCGCUUAUCUUUAAGAUGGAGGCCUCGGCCCCUUCAACAGGUUGUGCAGCUCUUGUGGUGGGGGGAGUCCCUUUCCAUGGCCCACCUCAUCCACCGCUGGGGACUCCCUGGGGUCCCAGCAACAAGGACCCACUCCUUCCCCUGCCCGGUGCACAGGUGUAGAUGCCAGGCAGAUUGGGUUGGGGGUGUACUGCACAUUUUCCUUGCAGCAGCGGACGUGGACUCAGGGAACGAACCCAGUCCUCAGUCUUCAAUUCUCAGCCCACAAAAGGGGCUUUCUACCUUGAGGAAGGAACCCCUCAUUUAACAUCUUUUUCUUCAAGUCUUCACCACAUCAUGGAUGUCUGUACGAUGAGAUUGCAGCAGGCACAGAAGCCUGAGGGUACUUGGUGGGAGGAGGCCUGGGGAUAUUGAGGGACCACAUGGCAGGCAGUGGUGGGCAGAUUGUGAGUUCUAUCCUGAUGGGCGCCCACAGGCAGCAGGACCCCUGGAGGCGGCCGUGCCUCCAUCUCCUAAAGAAAGGCAGCGCUCACUCAUGCUGGGAACGUGUGGGGCAGCAUUUACAGCCCAGGUUGUGACAAGGAUGUAUAAGUCACUGUGCCUGAGUCACGGAAACCCAAUGGUGUUUAUCACUUCUUCCCUGAGAGAGAUGAGGGGACCAGGCACGGCGCUUACCAUGAGGGUCAGGGAACUGCACUCAAGGCCUGGACUGGGUUCCAUCUUCCCAUAGCUGUCAGGGAAGGAAGCUGGCCCUCCCAUUCCUCCUGGAGGGACCAGGCCACCAGGUCUUUGAUCCUGAGAGGCAUCUUUGCCAAGGAGCAAAAAGGAUGGUGUCUGCUCAGGGCAUAGCCCAGGAGACUUCCACCCAUUGCCCCUUAGGAGCCCCUUAGGAGGCAGCAGAUGGGCUCAGCACAGGUGGCUGGAAGGGUCCAGUCCCUCCAUCCCCAGGUCUCUCAGAGGAAUCGCAUAGUUCUCCCUCUAACCCAGGACCUAAAAAUCUCCAGCUUGCCUCCAAGAAGAAUCCUGCUGGCCAUUUCCCAAGGCACACCCAGACCACAAGAGGCUGGAGGGUCUGCCCACAUCCUUGCCUGGGUGCACCUACCCCAUUAAUGUUCCCUGCAGCCCAGGGCUCCUCGGCAAAAGCCUCGUGAAGUCACGUGUCCAGUUUUUGGGGAGUUAGUUUAGUUAAAACUGGACAUCACGAUCUGAAGUCCUCAUGUCCAUCUUGGGUGAGCUGUGGAGUGGAGCUGGUAUAGCUGGGUGCUGGAGGGUCCCAGUGGGUCUCUGGGAUUCUCCUGGCAACAGGGGAGCCUGCUGGGCUGCCUAAACAGUGCCUGCUGGGCCAAGCCUAUUGCUUAGAGAGCAACUGCAGCAGUCCUUGUGUUAUAGUUUCUUUUCUCACCUCAGAGGGUCAGGGUGGAUAUGUCCAGGAUCCCCUCUUCAGUGGCAGUUUUGGGAGUUACUAAAAGAGGCUCUUCCCACCCCACUGCCAGAAUAGUGAAUUGCAGUGAGGCAUCCCUGACCCCACCGCCCCACACAUGGCCCCAGGUGGACACAAAUAGUCUUUUCUGCAGAAUGUGAGAGCCAGUCCUCCCUGCCUUGGACAUCCGGCUCCCCACCCUGGGUAGUGAGGCCAGGCAUUCCUGCAACUCUCUCCUGUGGGUGGUGUCUUGAGUCUCUGCAACCAUGGACACAGGUGGCAGCAAUGUACUUGGAUUCCGACGAAGGGGGUGCCCAUGGCUGAGGCAGGACUGGGUUCACAGCCAUCCAAGUUAGCAUCUGGGAGAGUUGGCUCAUGCUCCAGAGAGCCUCCUCCCUUCAAGUCUUGGUGACUUGUCAGGGGAUUUUUAGCACGAGGUGGUUGCCUCACCAAGGGAGCAGCAUUCUUGGGCCUUGUAAACUGUCUGGACACCGCAAAGCAUUGAUGCCUCCCUGGACAGCAUGGGCCUGGCUCUGCCAACACAUCCGUCAUCCUACUACACACUUCCAGCAAACAGGGAUGAUGCUUUUCAUCCAAGGUCAAGGUUGGUGGGGAAGGGCUCUGUCUUGGCCCAUGGGCCUGCAGGUCUGUCUCUGAGUUGGGACAGCUGCUGGAAGGCCCCACUAAACUAAUGUAAGAUACUCGGAAAGUUUGUCACCAGGGGAAGAAAGCAUUCUGGACUGCAUCAUUGGUGUCAGAUUCCACUGUGUGUUUAGAAGGCACAGUUUGUUUCCGAGAGUCUCAAAAUGUAAGCAGCAAACACCCUGCCAAGCUGCAGACAUAGGGCAGAUACAGAGAGGGGUGAAGAACUGGAGCAACUGAAGGCACUUCCCAUGGAUGCUGCGGGGAGAGGACCUCUUCCUGGGAGCUGAGGGCCAGGAUCCCCCUGAGGCCCUCUCUGGUCAAAUGAAAAUGGUUCCUGUCUUAUAUAUUAGGUGAAAGUUUGGAUCUCUGUUCUGUAAACUGGCCAGGACUGCACAACAACCUCCCAGUGGCCCAUGGAGUGGCACCCUCACGGGGUGAAGCCGCCCCCAGCACCAGUGCAGCCAAAGCUCCGGCUCCUUGGGUGAGCUGGAGAGGAGGAGGCACUUCAGCAGGGGCUGGGGGUGCUGUGUGAUUUGCCUGAGAAGCUGCUUCUGUUAACGAAGUCCUGUGCCUGGUGGGAACUCGGGUCGGCCAUGAGGAGGAUGCACCCAUGUCCUCACGCCUGUGGCUGGGUCUCCUCCUCAUCUUGUGGCAGCGCCAGACAUUCCAGAACAUGGGUUCAGGAAACUUGGACUGGGUCUGAACCAGCAGGAAGCAUGCCAAGAAACCUCCUCCCACCGUCCUGCUCUUCUCUCCCUCCCUCCCUCUUCCCUCCCUCCCCCGUCCCUCACUCUUCCCCUUCUCCCCCGUCCCCCUUUUCCUCUUUCUCUCUGAUCACCAGUCUUCUGAGUUAUCACAACCAAGUGAGACUGACUCAAGCUAUUAUUGAAAAUAUGGCCACAUCGAAUGUUUUUCUGAUAAAAAGAAGAACAUAAGUAAUUGGGGCAGGGGGUGAGGUGAGGACCUGGCGGAUGCCUUGGAGGCAACACGAGGGUGGAUUUGCUUGGGCAGAGCUAAGCCAGUGAGGCCAUCUCCACUCAGGCCCGAUGGAGUGGAGGGCACUGCCUUGAUCCAGUGGAGCCCGUGGACUGUGCCUUUUCCCAGACCUGAUGCCUCUCCCACCCCUGCCCCUGUUGCCCCAGAGCCAGGUGAGGGCAGAUGGCCCAGGGCCACCUCAGACCCCCACUGGGAGAGCAGCCAAAGCCAUGCCCAGUACCAGUAGCAGUGCCUCAUGUUCUGAAGAUCUGCCUUGUGGAUAAAAAUGCCUCAUCCAUUCUUACCGCUAUGGAAUAUUCACUUAUAGACAUUUAUCACUUUUUCCAGGUUAUAGUUUUGUGAAAUAAAAUGUUUAUUAUUUUUUGUUAUGAAA
Molecule: long non-coding RNA, 5367 nt
Organism: Homo sapiens (human)
Lineage: Eukaryota; Metazoa; Chordata; Mammalia; Primates; Hominidae
Exons: 2
Source: RefSeq, a predicted model, not a curated record